Molecule: ribosomal RNA, 301 nt
Filed under: uncultured bacterium
Lineage: Bacteria
Description: partial 16S ribosomal RNA
Rfam family: Bacterial small subunit ribosomal RNA
Source: RNAcentral
CAGCAGCCACGGUAAUACGAAGGGUGCGAGCGUUAAUCGGAAUUACUGGGCGUAAAGCGUGCGCAGGCGGUUCGUUAAGACAGAUGUGAAAUCCCCGGGCUUAACCUGGGAACUGCAUUUGUGACUGGCGAGCUAGAGUAUGGCAGAGGGGGGUAGAAUUCCGCGUGUAGCAGUGAAAUGCGUAGACAUGCGGAGGAACACCGAUGGCGAAGGCAGCCCCCUGGGCCAACACUGACGCUCAUGCACGAAAGCGUGGGGAGCAAACAGGAUUAGAUACCCCCGUAGUCCCUGUCUCUUAUAC